UACAGAGGGUGCAAGCGUUAAUCGGAAUUACUGGGCGUAAAGCGCGCGUAGGCGGCUGAUUAAGUCGGAUGUGAAAGCCCUGGGCUCAACCUAGGAACUGCAUUCGAUACUGAUCGGCUAGAGUAUGAGAGAGGGAGGUAGAAUUCCACGUGUAGCGGUGAAAUGCGUAGAUAUGUGGAGGAAUACCGGUGGCGAAGGCGGCCUCCUGGCUUAAUACUGACGCUGAGGUGCGAAAGGCGUGGGGAGCAAACAGG
This 254-nucleotide ribosomal RNA is filed under the name uncultured bacterium. RNAcentral's name for it is "partial 16S ribosomal RNA". It matches the Rfam family "Bacterial small subunit ribosomal RNA", at positions 524 to 776 of the family's 1533-position model. The record is from RNAcentral.